RNAcentral lists this ribosomal RNA (510 nucleotides) under uncultured bacterium. RNAcentral's name for it is "bacterial SSU rRNA". It matches the Rfam family "Bacterial small subunit ribosomal RNA", at positions 19 to 518 of the family's 1533-position model. The record is from RNAcentral.
AUGGCUCAGAACGAACGCUGGCGGCGCGCUUAAGCAUGCAAGUCGAACGGCAUGAGGAAGCUUGCUUCCUCAGAGAGUGGCGGACUGGUGAGUAACACGUGGGUGACCUACCCUUGAGAUGGGGAUAGCCGUUAGAAAUAGCGGAUAAUACCGAAUACGCUCUACGGACUCUGGUUUGUAGAGGAAACAGGCUACGGCCUGGCUCGAGGAUGGGCCCGCGUCCCAUUAGCUAGUUGGUGAGGUAAGAGCCCACCAAGGCGACGAUGGGUAUCCGGCCUGAGAGGGUGUACGGACACAUUGGGACUGAGAUACGGCCCAAACUCCUACGGGAGGCAGCAGCUAAGAAUAUUCCGCAAUGGACGAAAGUCUGACGGAGCGACGCCGCGUGGAUGACGAAGGCCGAAAGGUUGUAAAAUCCUUUUGCUGAUGAAGAAUAAGCGUGGUAGGGAAUGACCGCGUGAUGACAUUAGUCGGUGAAUAAGCCCCGGCUAACUACGUGCCAGCCGCAGC